Molecule: long non-coding RNA, 461 nt
Organism: Capsicum annuum
Lineage: Eukaryota; Viridiplantae; Streptophyta; Magnoliopsida; Solanales; Solanaceae
Exons: 3
Source: RefSeq, a predicted model, not a curated record
ACAACAUCAGCUGCCGUGAUAAUCCUUGAUUGGAACUUGGGAGCUUGCUUGUAUGGUUUUAAGCUUCUGAUAAGUCGAGUCGUCGUACUUUUUGUUGCUGGUACAUCUCGGGUGUUCCUGAUCUGUUUUGGAGUUCAUUACUGGUACUUUGGACAUUGUAUCAGUUAUGCAGUUGUAGCAUCUGUGCUGUUGGGUGCUGCUGUUUCACGGAAUUUAUCAGUUACAGACCCAUUAGCAGCUAGACGAGAUGCAUUGCAGAGCACAGUUAUCCGCCUUAGAGAAGGUUUCUGCAGAGAAGACCAAAAUAGCUCCGCAAGUUCUUCUGAGGUGUGUGGUUCAAGUGUCAAACGCAGUAGUAGUGCUGAUGCUGGUCAUCUUGGUAAUGCAACUGUGCCUUGCACUGGUGAUGACAGUACCUGGAAUAACAUUGAGGGGAUUAAUAGUGAUAAGAGCAUAGACAG